GAUGAACGCUGGCGGCGUGCCUAAUACAUGCAAGUCGAGCGAACAGACGAGGAGCUUGCUCCUUUGACGUUAGCGGCGGACGGGUGAGUAACACGUGGGUAACCUACCUAUAAGACUGGGAUAACUUCGGGAAACCGGAGCUAAUACCGGAUAAUAUUUCGAACCGCAUGGUUCGAUAGUGAAAGAUGGCUUUGCUAUCACUUAUAGAUGGACCUGCGCCGUAUUAGCUAGUUGGGAAGGUAACGGCUUACCAAGGCAACGAUACGUAGCCGACCUGAGAGGGUGAUAGGCCACACUGGAACGGAGACACGGUCCAGACUCCCAAGGGAGGCAGCAGAAGGGAAUCUGACGCAAUGGGCGAAAGCAUGACGGAGCAACGCCGCGUGAGUGAUGAAGGUCUUCGGAUCGUAAAACUCUGUUAUUAGGGAAGAACAAACGUGUAAGUAACUGUGCACGUCUUGACGGUACCUAAUCAGAAAGCCACGGCUAACUACGUG
Molecule: ribosomal RNA, 497 nt
Filed under: uncultured bacterium
Lineage: Bacteria
Description: partial 16S ribosomal RNA
Rfam family: Bacterial small subunit ribosomal RNA
Source: RNAcentral